GAUGAACGCUGGCGGCGCGCCUAACACAUGCAAGUCGAACGGUUAAAGCAUCUUCGGAUGUGCAUAAAGUGGCGAACGGCUGAGUAACACGUGGGCAACCUGCCCCUCGCAUCGGGACAGCCUCGGGAAACCGUGGUUAAUACCGGAUACUCCGCCACCCCCGCAUGGGGGAGGCGGGAAAGCCCAGACGGCGAGGGAUGGGCCCGCGGCCUGUUAGCUUGUUGGUGGGGCAGUGGCCCACCAAGGCGAUGAUGGGUAGCCGGGUUGAGAGACCGACCGGCCAGAUUGGGACUGAGACACGGCCCAGACUCCUACGGGAGGCAGCAGUGGGGAAUCUUGCACAAUGGGCGAAAGCCUGAUGCAGCGACGCCGCGUGCGGGACGAAAGGCCUUUCGGGUCGUAAAA
Molecule: ribosomal RNA, 405 nt
Filed under: Olsenella profusa
Lineage: Bacteria; Bacillati; Actinomycetota; Coriobacteriia; Coriobacteriales; Atopobiaceae
Description: bacterial SSU rRNA
Rfam family: Bacterial small subunit ribosomal RNA
Source: RNAcentral